AAGCGUAAAGAAGUAAUCUAAACAUGCGUACCUCAGAAGUUCGUUAGAAUCUCUUAUAUACCUGCGCACUUUCUCUCUCCAGGCAGUUACACAUCUGGACACGUGGCUCGCAUCCAGCUGUACACGUGUCACCAUCUGGAGCAUCCUUGACUUGGGCGCCACUUCUUACUCUUCAGGCUUUUGGCUAAGUUACUUAUGCAUGACACAACUCAGUGCAUAGCUGCCUUGAAGCGUGAUCUCUUCUGAGUGGCGAGUUCGGGUGCCUUCGUACACACCUUUCCUGUGGUCUCGCCGGCCGCCUUCAUGAUCUACUCUACCUGCUUCACCGUGUAUGUUCAGGUAAGCUGUCUCCCGACCUUAUCCUCUGGCUAGCUAGGAAAUGACUAUCUGACUUCAUCUUCGGCGAUGUCCUCGUUUCGGCGAUCUCUAAUCACUUGGUCGCCUGGGUUCACAUCUGGCGACUUCAUCUCAAACCCGGUGACCGCCGGUUUAGGUAUGCUAGAGAUCGGAGCACACCAACUUAAUAACUGGCGACUACACGAGCCCCCCG
Molecule: long non-coding RNA, 550 nt
Filed under: Phaseolus vulgaris (common bean)
Lineage: Eukaryota; Viridiplantae; Streptophyta; Magnoliopsida; Fabales; Fabaceae
Description: long non-coding RNA (PVUL_LNC000216)
Source: RNAcentral